GGGACGAGGGCGGGGCGGCUCUCAGGUCCCCGCACGCGUUUCCGGACGGAGCGAUCCGUGCGGCCGGCCGAGCGGGCCUUCGCGGUGGCUGAUGCAAGCCAUGGGGAAGGCUGGGGGUGUCGCGGCGCGCAGGAAGGGUCUGGGGGCCCCGGCGGGAGGCCGCGCGAGACCCAACCCCAACCCGUUCGAAGUGAAGGUCAACCGGCAGAAGUUCCCGGUCCUGGGCAGGAAGGCGCGCCACGCCGUGGGGCUGCCCGGGGUGUCGCGCGCGCGGGCCGUCCAGAAGCGUACCCAGACGUUACUAAAGGAGUACAAAGAAAGGGAUAAGUCCAAUGUAUUCACAGAUAAGCGCUUUGGGGAAUACAGUAGCAACAUGAGCCCAGAGGAAAAGAUGAUGAAGAGGUUUGCCCUGGAACAACAGCGACAACAUGAAAAGAAAAGCAUCUACAACCUCAACGAAGAUGAAGAAUUAACUCAUUACGGCCAGUCUUUGGCAGAUGUCGAAAAACAUAAUGACAUUGUCGAUAGUGACAGUGAUGCUGAGGAGAGAGGAACGCUGUCUGCCGAGCUGACCGCCACCCAUUUUGGAGGUGGUGGUGCCCUCCUUCACAAGAAAACUGCUCAGCAGCAAGGCGAGGAGGGGGAGAAACCACGGUCACGCAAAGAACUGAUUGAAGAGCUCAUUGCAAAAUCAAAACAGGAGAAGAGGGAGAGGCAGGCACAGCGAGAAGAUGCCCUGGAACUCACAGAGAAGCUGGAUCAGGACUGGAAAGAGAUCCAGACCCUCCUUGCACACAAAACACCCAAGUCUGACAACAAGGACAAAAAGGAGAAGCCCAAGCCUGACGCAUAUGACAUGAUGGUCCGUGAACUUGGCUUUGAAAUGAAGGCCCAGCCCUCUAACCGGAUGAAGACACAAGAGGAACUGGCGAAGGAGGAGCAGGAGCGGCUUGAGAAGCUGGAGGCUGCCAGGCUGCGGAGAAUGCUCGGAAAGGACGAGGAUGGCGGCACUAAAAAACCAAAACAUCAGUCAGCGGAUGACUUAAAUGACGGCUUUGUCCUGGACAAGGACGACAGGCACUUGCUUUCUUACAAAGAUGGAAAGGUGAGCACCGAGGAAGAGCAAAGCAGGGAAGCCGGUGAUGACAACAGUGACGAGGAACAGGAUGAAGGCCCGAGCGAGGACUCAGAGGAGAGCAGUGGCCCUGAUGGGCACUCGGACCUGGAAUCGGACGUGGAGAGCGAGGAGGACAGAGAGACCCAGCAGGCUCCAGGGAAAAGGCUGAAAAGCGAUGGUCACAAAGCUCGAGAAGCUGCCAGAACAGAGCUGCCCUAUACCUUUGCAGCCCCUGAGUCCUACGAGGAACUUAAAUCCUUAUUAUCAGGGAAAUCGAUGGAAGAGCAGCUCUUGGUGGUGGAGAGAAUUAAGGCCUGCAACCACCCCAGCCUCGCGGUGGGAAACAAAGCGAAAUUAGAAAAACUGUUCGACUUCCUCUUGGAAUACAUUGGAGAUUUGGCUACAGAUGACCCACCAGACCUCAGAGUGAUUGAUAAAUUGGUUGUGCAGUUAUACAAUCUUUGCCAGAUGUUUCCUGAAUCUGCAAGCGGCUGCAUACAAUUUGUCCUCCGAGAUGCCAUGCACGAGAUGGAAGGAGCGAUUGAGGCCAGAGGCCGGGCGGCGUUUCCAGGCCUGGACGUGCUCAUUUAUUUGAAACUGGCUGGGGUGCUGUUUCCAACCUCUGACUUCUGGCACCCCGUCGUGACGCCUGCACUCGUGUGCAUGAGCCAGCUGCUCACCAAGUGUCCCGUCCUGUCCCUCCAAGACGCGGUGAAGGGCCUGUUCGUGUGCUGCCUGUUCCUGGAUUACGUGUCCCUGUCUCAGAGGUUCAUACCCGAGCUUAUCAAUUUUCUCCUCGGGAUUCUCUACAUCGCAACUCCAAACAAGCAAAGCCAAGGUUACACUCUGGUGCACCCUUUCAGAGCAUCUGGGAAGAAUUCAGAGUUGCUUUUGGUUUCUGAUGAAGAGGACAUAGCCACAUGGCAGAGGAGAGGCCUCUCCCUCCACUGGGCAAAUGGACUGAAGGCCCAGACUAAGACGGAGGCCAACCACAUGAGACUGUCCUGCCUGGCCGUGUGUCUGGCUCUGGUGAAGCACUGCGUGCUCACGUACGGCCCCCUGCCAUCCUUCCACGACAUCGUGCGGCCCCUCCGGGCCCUGCUGACGGAGCACCUGGCCGCCUGCAGUCACCCCCAGGAGCUCCAGCAGAUGUCUUCAACAGCUGCCGGUUCUGUGGCACGUCUUUUGGUCGUGCCUUCGUUAAACUCCAGACCCUCCUUCCCGUGGGUGCCCCGCCUCCCCACCCUGUCUCCUCUGGAGUCGUCCCCAGCCGGCCAUAGGCUUCUGUCCGAGGGGCCGUCAGGGCCAUCAGAAGGCGAAGGCGGGACUGUGGUGUGUCAGGCCAGGCGAGCUGGCACACUCCCUUCACCCGCUCGGACCCCGUCAUCUGCAGAGUUGACACUGGCCCUUUUCUCUGCCUGGAGCACUGUCCCUAAAGACCGGCGGCUCAUCCCCUCGCUUUCCUCAGGAAGCCAGGCCGUCCGGAAGGGAGUGGCCCCUGCUGCUCACCCCUCCCUGGCCUCUCCUCCACAACACAUUGUCAUAUCUCUCCCCUGCUAGCACAGGGACAGGCCGUGUCCGUGAGGACAGGAGCUCAGCCGUCCCUUGUUGGACACCCUCCGAGCCCGGGCGGUCCACACGGAGUCACCUCAGCACGUAGAGAUUGAUGAGGCUAAGAUGUCAAUAGCUAUGUCUUACUGUAGGUGUGGCUGUGGCUUGUCCUUUAAAGGACGGAGUGGCUCUCUGGUCCUGCGGGAGGGGCCUCGAUGGUGCUAAUGGACCCGGGGCGAGCCAAGCGGGCUGUGCCUCACGUGCAGUUCCUGUGGAGAUGGGGCUUUUGGCCUCAGAAGCAACUGUGUGGGCCGGGGGUGAGGGGUGCUGUGCCCGUGGUGCCAGAGGCCUGAGUUCCAGGACACAGCUGUGUGAGGGGAAAGGAACCGUCAGUAUGCCGGCUUCUAGAAGGUUCCUCAGAAGUCACAGCCGUGGUGAAGGACCUGUGCCGGAGCGCGCUGGCCGCCAUGGGGAAGCAGGAACGGCGCUACCGGCCGCUGAUCUGUGAGAAGAGCAGGCCCGUGCCACUGAAGCUGUUCACCCCCCGACUGGUCAAA
This is an RNA transcript of Acinonyx jubatus (cheetah), 3225 nucleotides long. It is a transcript of the gene named NOP14 nucleolar protein, with no coding region annotated. The transcript is spliced from 17 exons. NCBI's taxonomy places the organism in Eukaryota, Metazoa, Chordata, Mammalia, Carnivora, Felidae. The record is from RefSeq and is a predicted model, not a curated record.